This 75-nucleotide microRNA precursor is filed under the name Schistosoma mattheei. RNAcentral describes it as "mir-3492 microRNA precursor family". It matches the Rfam family "mir-3492 microRNA precursor family". Lineage: Eukaryota; Metazoa; Platyhelminthes; Trematoda; Strigeidida; Schistosomatidae. The record is from Rfam by way of RNAcentral.
GGCCUUCUGUAUCCGUGCUGAGAUUUCGUCACACACCACACCAGGGCUUAUAAGACUUCCAAGAUAAGUGAAGCA